This 58-nucleotide transfer RNA is filed under the name Salmo salar (Atlantic salmon). It matches the Rfam family "tRNA", at positions 8 to 63 of the family's 71-position model. Rfam says of the family: Transfer RNA (tRNA) molecules are approximately 80 nucleotides in length. Their secondary structure includes four short double-helical elements and three loops (D, anti-codon, and T loops). Lineage: Eukaryota; Metazoa; Chordata; Actinopteri; Salmoniformes; Salmonidae. The record is from Rfam by way of RNAcentral.
UGGCUCAGUUGGUAGAACAUGGUGUUUGCAAUGCUAGGGUUGUGGGUUCGAUUCCCAC